AACCUCGUCUCCCAGAAGAACCAGUUUCUCGUUAUAACAGAACUUCAAUAUCUCUCUUAUGUUAGCUUCGCUUAGACACUGGCCAGUUGGGUUCCCAGGGUUAAUGAUCACCAUUGCCCUUACCUGUACAUGCAUUCAAGACAAUUUGUAACUGGAGCAAGAAAGACAUCACCGAUUAUUGCAAGAGAAGAAGGAAAAAGAGUGCUUACUGUUAUCCCUUGAGAACGAGCCUGAGCAACGGAUUGUCGAAGGUUAGCAACAUCAAGUCCCCAGUUUUCAGACUCAUCAAGAUAGUAAGGAACAAGAGUACCACCUAACAGUGAUAUGGUAGCUGAGUAAAGUGGAUACUGU
Molecule: long non-coding RNA, 351 nt
Filed under: Arabidopsis thaliana (thale cress)
Lineage: Eukaryota; Viridiplantae; Streptophyta; Magnoliopsida; Brassicales; Brassicaceae
Description: long non-coding RNA (ATHA_LNC000345)
Source: RNAcentral